RNAcentral lists this ribosomal RNA (1038 nucleotides) under Euleia fratria. Its description in RNAcentral is "eukaryotic LSU rRNA". It matches the Rfam family "Eukaryotic large subunit ribosomal RNA", at positions 943 to 1853 of the family's 3401-position model. The record is from RNAcentral. Lineage: Eukaryota; Metazoa; Arthropoda; Insecta; Diptera; Tephritidae.
UCUAGUAGCUGGUUCCCUCCGAAGUUUCCCUCAGGAUAGCUGGUGCAUUUAAAAAUUAUAUAAAAUAAUCUUAUCUGGUAAAGCGAAUGAUUAGAGGCCUUAGGGUCGAAACGAUCUUAACCUAUUCUCAAACUUUAAAUGGGUAAGAACCUCACCUUUCUUGAUAUGAAGGUUGAGGUUAUGAUAUAAUGUGCCCAGUGGGCCACUUUUGGUAAGCAGAACUGGCGCUGUGGGAUGAACCAAACGUAAUGUUACGGUGCCUAAAUUAACAACUCAUGCAGAUACCAUGAAAGGCGUUGGUUGCUUAAAACAGCAGGACGGUGGACAUGGAAGUCGUAAUCCGCUAAGGAGUGUGUAACAACUCACCUGCCGAAGCAACUAGCCCUUAAAAUGGAUGGCGCUUAAGUUGUAUACCUAUACAUUACCGCUAAAGUAUAUGAUUUAAAAUACAUUUGUAUUAUAAAUUUUGAAACUUUAGUGAGUAGGAGGGUACAAUGGUGUGCUUAGAAGUGUUUGGCGUAAGCCUGCAUGGAGCCGCCAUUGGUACAGAUCUUGGUGGUAGUAGCAAAUAAUCGAAUGAGAUCUUGGAGGACUGAAGUGGAGAAGGGUUUCGUGUGAACAGUGGUUGAUCACGAGUUAGUCGGUCCUAAGUUCAAGGCGAAAGCCGAAAAUUUUCAAGUUUUAAUGAGAAAAAUAUUAAAAUUAAAAACAAUAUAUAUGUAUAAUUAAACACUUGAAUAAUUUUGAACGAAAGGGAAUACGGUUCCAAUUCCGUAACCUGUUGAGUAUCCGUUUGUUAUUAAAAAUGGGCCUUGUGCUCAUCCUGGCAACAGGAACGACCAUAAAGAAGCCGUCGAGAGGUAUCGGAAGAGUUUUCUUUUCUGUUUUAUAGUCGUACUACCAUGGAAGUCUUUCGAAGAGAGAUAUGGUAGAUGGACUAGAAGAGCAUGACAUUUACUGUUGUGUCGAUAUUUUCUCCUCGGACCUUGAAAAUUUAUGGUGGGGUCACGCAAACUUCUCAACAGGCCGUACCAAUAU